CCAGACUCCUACGGGAGGCAGCAGUGGGGAAUAUUGGGCAAUGGGCGCAAGCCUGACCCAGCAACGCCGCGUGAAGGAAGAAGGCUUUCGGGUUGUAAACUUCUUUUGACAGGGAAGAGUAGAAGACGGUACCUGUUUAGAAAGCUCCGGCUAACUACGUGCCAGCAGCCGCGGUAAUACGUAGGGAGCAAGCGUUGUCCGGAAUUACUGGGCGUAAAGGGCGCGUAGGUGGGCGCUUAAGUCAGGUGUGAAAACUCCGGGCUCAACCUGGAGACUGCCCUUGAAACUGGGUGUCUUGAGGGCAGGAGAGGAAAGUGGAAUUCCUAGUGUAGCGGUGAAAUGCGUAGAUAUUAGGAGGAACACCAGUGGCGAAGGCGGCUUUCUGGACUGUACCUGACGCUGAGGCGCGAAAGCGUGGGUAGCGAACAGGAUUAGAUACCCUUGUA
Molecule: ribosomal RNA, 446 nt
Filed under: uncultured bacterium
Lineage: Bacteria
Description: partial 16S ribosomal RNA
Rfam family: Bacterial small subunit ribosomal RNA
Source: RNAcentral